This 492-nucleotide ribosomal RNA is filed under the name uncultured bacterium. RNAcentral describes it as "partial 16S ribosomal RNA". It matches the Rfam family "Bacterial small subunit ribosomal RNA", at positions 29 to 507 of the family's 1533-position model. The record is from RNAcentral.
AGUGAACGCUGGCGGUAGGCCUAACACAUGCAAGUCGAGCGGCAGCACAGUAAGAGCUUGCUCUUACGGGUGGCGAGUGGCGGACGGGUGAGGAAUACAUCGGAAUCUACUUUUUCGUGGGGGAUAACAUAGGGAAACUUACGCUAAUACCGCAUACGACCUACGGGUGAAAGCAGGGGAUCUUCGGACCUUGCGCGAUUGAAUGAGCCGAUGUCGGAGUAGCUAGUUGGCGGGGUAAAGGCCCACCAAGGCGACGAUCCGUAGCUGGUCUGAGAGGAUGAACCGCCACACUGGAACUGAGAAACGGUCCAGACUCUUACGGGAGGAAGCAGUGGGGAAUAUUGGACAAUGGGCGCAAGCCUAAUCCAGCCAUACCGCGUGGGUGAAGAAGGCCUUCGGGUUGUAAAGCCCUUUUGUUGGGAAAGAAAAGCAGCAGGUUAAUACCCCGCUGUCCUGACGGUACCCAAAGAAUAAGCCCCGGCUAACUUCGUG